CCUACGGGUGGCAGCAGUGAGGAAUAUUGGUCAAUGGGCGCGAGCCUGAACCAGCCAAGUAGCGUGAAGGAUGACUGCCCUACGGGUUGUAAACUUCUGUUAUAAAGGAAUAAAGUGAGGCACGUGUGCCGUGUUGUAUGUACUUUAUGAAUAAGGAUCGGCUAACUCCGUGCCAGCAGCCGCGGUAAUACGGAGGAUCCGAGCGUUAUCCGGAUUUAUUGGGGUGAAAGGGAGCGUAGAGGGGUUGUUAAGUCAGUGGUGAAAGUUUGCGGCUCAACCGUAAAAUUGCAAUGGAUACGGGCAGUCUUGAGUACAGUUGCGGUCGGCGGACUUCGUGGUGUAGCGG
RNAcentral lists this ribosomal RNA (346 nucleotides) under uncultured bacterium. RNAcentral's name for it is "partial 16S ribosomal RNA". It matches the Rfam family "Bacterial small subunit ribosomal RNA", at positions 338 to 681 of the family's 1533-position model. The record is from RNAcentral.